AUGAACGCUGGCGGCGUGCCUAAUCCCUGCAAGUCGAGCGAACAGACGAGGAGCUUGCUCCUCUGACGUUAGCGGCGGACGGGUGAGUAACACGUGGAUAACCUACCUAUAAGACUGGGAUAACUUCGGGAAACCGGAGCUAAUACCGGAUAAUAUAUUGAACCGCAUGGUUCAAUAGUGAAAGACGGUUUUGCUGUCACUUAUAGAUGGAUCCGCGCCGCAUUAGCUAGUUGGUAAGGUAACGGCUUACCAAGGCAACGAUGCGUAGCCGACCUGAGAGGGUGAUCGGCCACACUGGAACUGAGACACGGUCCAGACUCCUACGGGAGGCAGCAGUAGGGAAUCUUCCGCAAUGGGCGAAAGCCUGACGGAGCAACGCCGCGUGAGUGAUGAAGGUCUUCGGAUCGUAAAACUCUGUUAUUAGGGAAGAAAAAAUGUGUAAGUAACUAUGCACGUCUUGACGGUACCUAAUCAGAAAGCCACGGCUAACUACGUG
Molecule: ribosomal RNA, 496 nt
Filed under: uncultured bacterium
Lineage: Bacteria
Description: partial 16S ribosomal RNA
Rfam family: Bacterial small subunit ribosomal RNA
Source: RNAcentral